AGGGCUAUAGCUCAGUUGGUAGAGCACCUCAAGGUCUACGGUUCGAGUCCGUAUAGCCCUA
This 61-nucleotide transfer RNA is filed under the name Xanthosoma sagittifolium (arrowleaf elephant's ear). Its description in RNAcentral is "tRNA-Val". It matches the Rfam family "tRNA". Rfam says of the family: Transfer RNA (tRNA) molecules are approximately 80 nucleotides in length. Their secondary structure includes four short double-helical elements and three loops (D, anti-codon, and T loops). Further hydrogen bonds mediate the characteristic L-shaped molecular structure. tRNAs have two regions of fundamental functional importance: the anti-codon, which is responsible for specific mRNA codon recognition, and the 3' end, to which the tRNAs corresponding amino acid is attached (by aminoacyl-tRNA synthetases). tRNAs cope with the degeneracy of the genetic code in two manners: having more than one tRNA (with a specific anti-codon) for a particular amino acid; and 'wobble' base-pairing, i.e. permitting non-standard base-pairing at the 3rd anti-codon position. RNAcentral also lists the same sequence under 15 other names. The record is from RNAcentral. Lineage: Eukaryota; Viridiplantae; Streptophyta; Magnoliopsida; Alismatales; Araceae.